UCCUACGGGAGGCAGCAGUAGGGAAUCUUCCGCAAUGGACGAAAGUCUGACGGAGCAACGCCGCGUGAGUGAUGAAGGUUUUCGGAUCGUAAAACUCUGUUGUUAGGGAAGAACAAGUUGGGUAGUAACUGACCCAACCUUGACGGUACCUAACCAGAAAGCCACGGCUAACUACGUGCCAGCAGCCGCGGUAAUACGUAGGUGGCAAGCGUUGUCCGGAAUUAUUGGGCGUAAAGCGCUCGCAGGCGGUCUUUUAAGUCUGAUGUGAAAGCCCACGGCUUAACCGUGGAGGGUCAUUGGAAACUGGAGGACUUGAGUACAGAAGAGGAGAGUGGAAUUCCACGUGUAGCGGUGAAAUGCGUAGAGAUGUGGAGGAACACCAGUGGCGAAGGCGACUCUCUGGUCUGUAACUGACGCUGAGGCGCGAAAGCGUGGGGAGCAAACAGGAUUAGAUACCCUGGUAGUCCACGCCGUAAACGAUGAGUGCUAAGUGUUAGAGGGUUUCCGCCCUUUAGUGCUGAAGUUAACGCAUUAAGCACUCCGCCUGGGGAGUACGGCCGCAAGGCUGAAACUCAAAGGAAUUGACGGA
Molecule: ribosomal RNA, 589 nt
Filed under: uncultured bacterium
Lineage: Bacteria
Description: bacterial SSU rRNA
Rfam family: Bacterial small subunit ribosomal RNA
Source: RNAcentral